CGGAACGGGUGAGUAAUGUAUCGGAACGUAUCCAAUAAUGGGGGAUAACGAGUCGAAAGAUUCGCUAAUACCGCAUACGCCCUACGGGGGAAAGCAGGGGAUCUUCGGACCUUGCGUUAAUGGAGCGGCCGAUAUCUGAUUAGCUAGUUGGUGAGGUAAAGGCUCACCAAGGCGACGAUCAGUAGCUGGUCUGAGAGGACGACCAGCCACACUGGAGCUGAGACACGGUCCAG
Molecule: ribosomal RNA, 233 nt
Filed under: uncultured bacterium
Lineage: Bacteria
Description: partial 16S ribosomal RNA
Rfam family: Bacterial small subunit ribosomal RNA
Source: RNAcentral